UAACACAUGCAAGCCGAGGGGUAAGUCUCUUUCGGGAGAACACGACCGGCGCACGGGUGAGUAACGCGUAUGCAACCUACCUUUGGCACGGGGACAGCCCGGGGAAACCCGGAUUAAUACCCGGUAUAGUCUAUUAUACACCUGUAUAAAAGACGAGAGCUACGGCGGCCAAAGAUGGGCAUGCGUGCCAUUAGUUAGUUGGUAGGGUAACGGCCUACCAAGGCAUCGAUGGCUACGGGGUCUAAAAGGAUGAGCCCGCACACUGGUACUGAGACACGGACCAGACUCCUACGGGAGGCAGCAGUGAGGAAUAUUGGUCAAUGGGUGGAAGCCUGAACCAGCCAUGCCGCGUGCAGGAAGACGGCCUUAUGGGUUGUAAACUGCUUUUCUACGGGACGAACGGCUCUGACGUGUCAGAGAUUGACGGUACCGUAGGAAUAAGCAUCGGCUAACUCCGUGCCAGCAGCCGCGGUAAUACGGAGGAUGCGAGCGUUAUCCGGAUUCAUUAGGUUUAAAGGGUGCGUAGGCUGGGCAAUAAGUCAGUGGUGAAAGUCCGCGGCUCAACCGUGGGAUUGCCAUUGAAACUGUCGUUCUUGAGUACAGUCGAGGUAGGCGGAAUGUGUAAUGUAGCGGUGAAAUGCGUAGAUCUGACCCAGAACACCGAUUGCGUAGGCAGCUUACCAGCCUGGAACUGACGCUGAUGCGCGAGAGCGUGGGGAGUGAACCGGGAUUCGAUACCCUGGUCGUCCACGCCGUAGCCGAUGAUCACUCGCUGUCGGCCAUGUGGAGUCAGCGGCUGAGCGAAGGCGUGCAGUGAUCCACC
Molecule: ribosomal RNA, 823 nt
Filed under: uncultured organism
Description: bacterial SSU rRNA
Rfam family: Bacterial small subunit ribosomal RNA
Source: RNAcentral